RNAcentral lists this microRNA (21 nucleotides) under Ananas comosus (pineapple). RNAcentral describes it as "microRNA s0763_c97a". Lineage: Eukaryota; Viridiplantae; Streptophyta; Magnoliopsida; Poales; Bromeliaceae. The record is from RNAcentral.
AAUCACCAAAAAAAAAUAGCC